This 379-nucleotide long non-coding RNA is filed under the name Carica papaya (papaya). RNAcentral describes it as "long non-coding RNA (CPAP_LNC014773)". Lineage: Eukaryota; Viridiplantae; Streptophyta; Magnoliopsida; Brassicales; Caricaceae. The record is from RNAcentral.
UUUGUUUUGGUGCUCUCGAGGAAUAGAAAAGCUUGCAAUAAUAAUAUGCAACAUUACGAUCAAUUUUAAGAGAAUUUUUCUUAAGAGUUACAAGAACUAAAUUCCCAAGUUAAUUGUUUUCCUCACCAAAACUUCACCAUCUCUAUUUCAUGCUCCUUAAACUUGUACCCUAAUAUCUUGUUAAACUUAAUCUUGUAUGAAUAAGGAACAAACAUAUCAAGUUCGUUCUUCUAAUGAAGCUCCUAGUAAGAUUUGUGAAAGAAAUUGGAGCCAUUCAGUUGUAGUAAUAAUUUUAAUUUUAUCCAUAUAGUUAGUUAUUUAUCAUAAUGAAAACCAUCCAUGAAAAACACAUCUUAAAUAAAAUUAAUGGAAAAGGAUU